GCCCAGACUCCUACGGGAGGCAGCAGUGGGGGAUAUUGCACAAUGGGGGAAACCCUGAUGCAGCGACGCCGCGUGAGCGAUGAAGUAUUUCGGUAUGUAAAGCUCUAUCAGCAGGGAAGAAAAUGACGGUACCUGACUAAGAAGCCCUGGCUAACUACGUGCCAGCAGCCGCGGUAAUACGUAGGGGGCAAGCGUUAUCCGGAUUUACUGGGUGUAAAGGGAGCGUAGACGGUCCUGCAAGCCAGAUGUGAAAGCCCGGGGCUCAACCCCGGGACUGCAUUUGGAACUGUAAGGCUAGAGUGUCGAAGAGGCAGGCGGAAUUCCUAGUGUAGCGGUGAAAUGCGUAGAUAUUAGGAGGAACACCAGUGGCGAAGGCGGCCUGCUGGACGAUGACUGACGUUGAGGCUCGAAAGCGUGGGGAGCAAACAGGAUUAGAUACCCCAGUAC
RNAcentral lists this ribosomal RNA (447 nucleotides) under uncultured bacterium. RNAcentral describes it as "bacterial SSU rRNA". It matches the Rfam family "Bacterial small subunit ribosomal RNA", at positions 329 to 793 of the family's 1533-position model. The record is from RNAcentral.